CCUACGGGAGGCAGCAGUGGGGAAUAUUGGGCAAUGGGCGCAAGCCUGACCCAGCAAAGCCGCGUGAAGGAAGAAGGCUUUCGGGGUGUAAAAUUCUUUUAAGAGGGAAAAGAAGAAGACGGUACCUCUUGAAUAAGCCACGGCUAACUACGUGACAGCAGCCGCGGUAAUACGUAGGUGGCAAGCGUUGUCCGGGUUUACUGGGUGGAACGGGCGUGUAGCCGGGCUGAUAAGUCAUAUGUGAAAUUCCGGGGCUCAACCCAGGACUUGCAUUUGAAACUGUUGGUCUUGAGUAUCGGAGAGGCAGGCGGAAUUCCUAGUGUAGCGGUGAAAUGCGUAGAUAUUAGGAGGAACACCAGUGGCGAAGGCGGCCUGCUGGACGACAACUGACGGUGAGGCGCGAAAGCGUGGGGAGCAAACAGGAUUAGAUACCCCAGUAGUC
This 442-nucleotide ribosomal RNA is filed under the name uncultured bacterium. RNAcentral's name for it is "partial 16S ribosomal RNA". It matches the Rfam family "Bacterial small subunit ribosomal RNA", at positions 338 to 795 of the family's 1533-position model. The record is from RNAcentral.